AGUCGGAACCGAAGUACCCGUAUGCGUCAUCGUGCCCGCAUACCGCAGCGGCGAAUUACACCCAGCCCUUCUCACCACUACCCUCUUCUUGCCCCCCUAAUGAUGCAUAUUGUGCCCCCGAGGGAUCUCGUUCUCUAAACGAUUCACAACCAUAAACAGAUCUGGUAUCCUUCCAACUAAGGAUAUGCGAAGGUACCGUAUGCUGGACGGGCGAUGUCCACUUCCUGAAAAACCCAGGUGGACCUGCCGCCUUUCUUCGACCACCACCUGCCUCUGCCAGCAACGGGUUCCUCGCAACAAGCCUCAACUCCUCCUCUCGGCACCGCUUUCCGUAAGAUAGUCUCAGACAAGCAAUAGCAGCAGCAGGCUGGUUGGCUGAUUCGAACGAUUUCAAAACGAGAAUGCGUAAGCCGUAAUUCCACGCGAUCGAUAAAGAAAACGAAGCUUUCGAUUCCAAUGGCGUUUUGCGGAAAGCGGCGACCGGAAGUAGCGUACGGAUGUAACGAAACGUGGACGAUGUCUCGCGUGACGAUUUAAGAAAUUCUGAUGAUUCAUUUUAUGGUCUUUUUUCUUGUAAAUUUUUCUUUCUUUUCAAAAUUUAAAAUUUUAUUAUUAAUUUUAUCAAAAUAAAAUUAUAAAGAAUUCUUUUAGUAAUUGAAUUGAUAAUGAAUCAUUUUGAAUAUAAAUUGUAUUUUUAAGUAUAAACGAGGUUUAAGAUAAUUUUGUCUCAUUUCCGGAGAUUAAUGUUUAUAAAAUGUAAUGUAAUUGAAAUAUAGAGUAUAAGACUGGAAUAUAAAGAUAUUUUUUAAGUAAUUUUUAUAAGCUUUCAAAAUAUUCUUUCUUUUCGUCUAUUUUAAAGACGAGUUUUAUCUAAUUAAAAAUGUUUUUACUUUAUGUUUAUUUUAUAUAAUCAUAUAUAAAAUAAUAUAUAAUAUGGAAUAUUAAUUCAUAUAUAUUCAAAUAUAUAUAUAUAUAUGUAUAUAUAUAUAUAUAUAUGUAUAUAUAUGUAUAUAUAGAAAGAGGGAGAAAAAAAGAGAGAAUAUAUAUAUAUAGAAUGAGGAAUCUUUUUGUAUAAUUAAAAAUGCAAUUUUUGAAGUAAAUCAUAAUUAUAAUUAAUGUGUUUAUAUAGGAUUGUAUAAAAUAAAAUAAUUGAAUAAAUUAUUUAAAUUUAA
This is a long non-coding RNA of Apis cerana (Asiatic honeybee), 1172 nucleotides long. RefSeq lists it as uncharacterized. The record is from RefSeq and is a predicted model, not a curated record. Lineage: Eukaryota; Metazoa; Arthropoda; Insecta; Hymenoptera; Apidae.